CGUAGAGAGUUGAGUCCUGGCUCAGGACAACGCUGGCGGCGUGCUUAACACAUGCAAGUCGAACGGUGAAGCUCCAGCUUGCUGGAGUGGAUCAGUGGCGAACGGGUGAGUAACACGUGAGCAACCUGCCCCAGACUCUGGAAUAAGCGCUGGAAACGGCGUCUAAUACUGGAUACGAGAUCAAGCCGCAUGGUUAUGGUCUGGAAAGUUUUCGGUUUGGGAUGGGCUCGCGGCCUAUCAGCUUGUUGGUGAGGUAAUGGCUCACCAAGGCGACGACGGGUAGCCGGCCUGAGAGGGCGGCCGGCCACACUGGGACUGAGACACGGCCCAGACUCCUACGGGAGGCAGCAGUGGGGAAUAUUGCACAAUGGGCGAAAGCCUGAUGCAGCGACGCCGCGUGAGGGAUGACGGCCUUCGGGUUGUAAACCUCUUUCAGCAGGGAAGAAGCGAAAGUGACGGUACCUGCAGAAGAAGCACCGGCUAACUACGUG
RNAcentral lists this ribosomal RNA (491 nucleotides) under uncultured Janibacter sp. RNAcentral's name for it is "bacterial SSU rRNA". It matches the Rfam family "Bacterial small subunit ribosomal RNA", at positions 1 to 507 of the family's 1533-position model. The record is from RNAcentral. Lineage: Bacteria; Bacillati; Actinomycetota; Actinomycetes; Micrococcales; Intrasporangiaceae.